CCUACGGGAGGCAGCAGUGAGGAAUAUUGGUCAAUGGGCGCGAGCCUGAACCAGCCAAGUCGCGUAAGGGAAGACGGUCCUCUGGAUUGUAAACCUCUUUUGUCGGGGAGCAAAAGACGCCACGCGUGGCGUUCCGAGAGUACCCGAAGAACAAGCCUAGGCUAACUCCGUGCCAGCAGCCGCGGUAAUACGGAGGAUGCGAGCGUUAUCCGGAUUUAUUGGGUUUAAAGGGUGCGCAGGCGGAAGAUCAAGUCAGCGGUAAAAUUGAGAGGCUCAACCUCUUCGAGCCGUUGAAACUGGUUGUCUUGAGGGAGUGAGAAGGAUGCGGAAUGCGUGGUGUAGCGGUGAAAUGCAUAGAUAUCACGCAGAACUCCGAUUGCGAAGGCAGCAGACCGGCGCUCAACUGACGCUCAUGCACGAAAGUGUGGGUAUCGAACAGGAUGAGAUACCCGAGUAGUC
This 459-nucleotide ribosomal RNA is filed under the name uncultured bacterium. RNAcentral's name for it is "partial 16S ribosomal RNA". It matches the Rfam family "Bacterial small subunit ribosomal RNA", at positions 338 to 795 of the family's 1533-position model. The record is from RNAcentral.